This 896-nucleotide ribosomal RNA is filed under the name Phillipsia domingensis. RNAcentral's name for it is "partial large subunit ribosomal RNA". It matches the Rfam family "Eukaryotic large subunit ribosomal RNA", at positions 53 to 964 of the family's 3401-position model. The record is from RNAcentral. Lineage: Eukaryota; Fungi; Ascomycota; Pezizomycetes; Pezizales; Sarcoscyphaceae.
GACGGGAGGAGACAACAGGGCUUGCCCUAGUAACUGCGAGUGAAGCGGCAAAAGCUCAGAUUUGAAACCUGCUGCCUUCGGUAGCCGGAUUGUAAUCUGGAGAGACAUCUUCUGGUGGACAGCCGGUCUAAGUUCCUUGGAACAGGACGUCAGAGAGGGUGAGAAUCCCGUAUUCUGGUCGGCCCGUGCACCUUGUGAAGUGUCUUCGACGAGUCGAGUUGUUUGGGAAUGCAGCUCAAAAUGGGUGGUAAAUUUCAUCUAAAGCUAAAUAUUGGCGAGAGACCGAUAGCGCACAAGUAGAGUGAUCGAAAGAUGAAAAGCACUUUGAAAAGAGAGUCAAAAAGUACGUGAAAUUGUUGAAAGGGAAGCGCUUGAGACCAGACUCGGGCGUAGGUGAUCAGCGUUGCUUCUGCUUCGUGCACUUGCCUAUGCCUGGGCCAGCAUCGGUUGUGGCGGUGAGAUAAAGGUCUGAGGAAUGUGGCUCCCCCUCGGGGGAGUGUUAUAGCCUCGGGCGUAAUGCCACCUGCUGCGACCGAGGACCGCGCUUCGGCUAGGAUGCUGGCGUAAUGGUCUUCAGCGACCCGUCUUGAAACACGGACCAAGGAGUCUAACAUCUAUGCGAGUGUUCGGGUGUAAAACCCCUGCGCGUAAUGAAAGUGAACGGAGGUGGGAACCCCUCACGGGGCGCACCAUCGACCGAUCCUGAUGUCUUCGGAUGGAUUUGAGUAAGAGCAUAGCUGUUGGGACCCGAAAGAUGGUGAACUAUGCCUGAAUAGGGUGAAGCCAGAGGAAACUCUGGUGGAGGCUCGCAGCGGUUCUGACGUGCAAAUCGAUCGUCAAAUUUGGGUAUAGGGGCGAAAGACUAAUCGAACCAUCUAGUAGCUGGUUCCUGCCGA